UGCUCCUUGGCCCAGUUGGUUAAGGCGUCCGACUGUUAUUCGUAUGACCAUGUGACUUUGUCACGUGGUGCGAUCCGCAUCGGGACAUCGAGAGUUCAAGUCUCUCAGGAGCAG
Non-coding RNA from Mycena rebaudengoi, 114 nucleotides. Lineage: Eukaryota; Fungi; Basidiomycota; Agaricomycetes; Agaricales; Mycenaceae. The record is from the annotation of a GenBank genome assembly.